This 1628-nucleotide long non-coding RNA is filed under the name Homo sapiens (human). RNAcentral's name for it is "HSALNT0319461". Lineage: Eukaryota; Metazoa; Chordata; Mammalia; Primates; Hominidae. The record is from RNAcentral.
CCCUGAUAGAGUAAUCCAAACCUUCAUUCCUGAAGUGGCUGGGCCAUUUGUAGUCCUGGAUUGGGUUGUUAUAAUUUCCCAUUGACCUUAAUCACAGGGCAUGGUAAUAUUAAGAGACACCAUAAUGGAUCUGCUGUAUUACAUGCAUGCUCUUCCUUACCUCUACUAUGGAGCAGUAGACUGAUUUCAUCUUGAUAGACCCCAGCCAAUAAUGUACCUCCCUUCUUAUUCUGUUGACUUAAAGAUAGCAGGAACCCAAAGUGUCCAGGUGGCAAUCUUAACUUCUAGUUCAAAGGAAUCAUUGAUGUUUCCUCUGGUGCCAGCAUUCCUCCCUCUGGAACUAAGAUCUCUAGGCCAGCAGAACAUAAUGUCACGGGAACAGGAAGCAAAAAUUUUGCUAAUGGAUCACUAGGAGUGAUGGUGAGUGGUGCCACUUCUACUUCCACCCCUUGAUCCUGGACCUACGAAUCCUGGCUAUAGGCAAAACAGUAUCAUAUAUGAGAUGCUGAUUCAGAGCAUACACGGCCUUCUGGAGAACUUUGCCCCAGCCCUGCAAAGUAUUGUCACCUAGUUGGCUUUGUAAUUGUGACUUCAAAAGGUCAUUCCACCAUUCUAUCAAUCCAGCUGCUUCAGGAUGAUGGGGAACAUGGUAUAAACAAUGAAUUCCAUGAGCAUGAACCCACUGUCUCACUUAUUUAGCCAUAAAGUGAGUGCUUUGGUGAGAGACAAUGCUGUGUGGAAUACCAUAAUGGUGGAUAAGGCAUUCUAUGAGUCCAUAGAUGAUAGUCUUGGCAGAAGCAUUGCGUGCAGGAUAGGCAAACCCAUAUCCGGCAUAAGUGUCCAUUCAAGUGAGAACAAACAUCUGCCCUUUCCAUGAUGGAAGAGGUCCAUUAAAAUCAAACUGCCACCAGGUAGGUGGGCUGAUCACCCCGAGGAAUGGUGCCACAUCGAGGGCUCAGAGCUAGUCUCUGCUGCUGGCAAAUCGGGUACCCAGCAGUGGCUGUAGCCAGGUCAGCCUUGGUGAGUGGAAGUCCAUGUUGCUGAGCCCAUGCAUAAGCUCCAUCCCUGCCACCAUGGCCACAUUGUCCAUGGACCCAUUGGGCAAUGACAGGGGUGGCUGAGGAAAGAGGCUGGGUGGUGUCCAUAGACAAGAUCAUCAUAUCCACUUCAUUAUUAAAGUCCUCUUCUGCUGAGGUCACCCAUUGGUGAGCACUCACUUGGGAUAAAAAUAUCUUCACAGUUUUUAACCACUCAGAGGGGUCCAUCCACAUACUUCUUCCUCAAAUUUCUUUGUCACCAAUUUUCCAAUCAUGCUUCUUCCAAGUCCUUGACCAUCCAGCCAAACCAUUAGCUACAGCCUAUGAAUCAGUAUAUAAUUGCACAUCUGGCCAGUUUUCCUUCCAUGCAAAGUGCACAACCAGAUGCACAGUUCGAAGUUCUGCCCGCUGGAAAGAUCUCCCUUCUCUGCCGUCCUUCAGGGAUGUCCUAGAACUUGGGCUGCAGUGCUGCAGCUGUCCACUUUUAAGUGGUGCCUGCAUAUCAUGCAGAACCAUCUGUGAACCAGGCCUAAGUCUUCUCUUCCUUUGUCAACUGAUCAUAGGGAACUCCCCAUGAGGCCAUCGGUGCAG